AAUUCAGUGGGCUUGGCUGUGUUAUAUUAUAUACACCACUCUGUGUACCUUCUCCUGUUGCUUCCGACUGGGUGUGUAAUUCGCCCGGCGGAAGGGUAAAAAUAACCUCUGAGUAUUGAUGAAAUCUCUGUCUGAACCGAAUAGAAAGAAAAAUGUUAAAACUUUCAGCAACGGAUCUCUUGGUUCUCGCAUCGAUGAAGAACGCAGCCGAAUGCGAUAAGUAGUGUGAAUUGCAGAAUUCAGUGAAUCAUCGAAUCUUUGAACAUACAUUGCGCCUUCUGGUAUUCCGGGAGGCAUGCCUGUUCGAGAGUCAUUAACAACCAGGUCGAAUCCCUUUCUUUUCCGUGUCCGGAGGGUGGGGGGGAAUCGGUGUUGGUGGUGGAGGGAAUGGAGUUUGUUGAGCUUGCCCACUAUAUGUUUGGCAAAUCUCUCCUCGGCACUGAAAUUUGGUGGUGGGAUACUUGGGUUCCGGUGGGAUUUGAGGGGAUAUGAUGACCUUGAUGAUCUUCUUCAACUCGCUAUCUGAAAUUCGCACAUUGAGUUUCUUAACUCAGUCAGCUGUCCCCCAUCGAUAACAUCAAUCAUAUCCAAAGGUUGACCUCGGAUCAGGUAGGGAUCCCCGCUGAACUUAAGCAUAUCAAUAAGCGGAGGAAAAGAAACUUACCGGGAUUGCCUCAGUAACUGCGAGUGUAGUGGUA
This 698-nucleotide ribosomal RNA is filed under the name uncultured fungus. RNAcentral's name for it is "eukaryotic LSU rRNA". The stretch from base 160 to 313 matches the Rfam family "5.8S ribosomal RNA". The record is from RNAcentral. Lineage: Eukaryota; Fungi.